AUAUUAAUUAUUCUAUAGAUACAUGGCAAAUGCUAAAGUGAUGAUGUGUCAAUCAUAUGAAGAGAGUUGGCCAACUUUCAUAUAUAUGAUUUAAAAAUCUGUCAAAUAUGAGAGAAUUAACUUAUGACGCAUUUAGUUAAACU
RNAcentral lists this small RNA (143 nucleotides) under Arabidopsis thaliana (thale cress). Its description in RNAcentral is "ATSL099450". The record is from RNAcentral. Lineage: Eukaryota; Viridiplantae; Streptophyta; Magnoliopsida; Brassicales; Brassicaceae.